UAGCUCACAUGGUAAAGAAUCUGUCUGCAAUACAGGAGACCCAGGUUCAAUUCCUGG
RNAcentral lists this transfer RNA (57 nucleotides) under Bos taurus (domestic cattle). It matches the Rfam family "tRNA", at positions 8 to 63 of the family's 71-position model. Rfam says of the family: Transfer RNA (tRNA) molecules are approximately 80 nucleotides in length. Their secondary structure includes four short double-helical elements and three loops (D, anti-codon, and T loops). Lineage: Eukaryota; Metazoa; Chordata; Mammalia; Artiodactyla; Bovidae. The record is from Rfam by way of RNAcentral. RNAcentral also lists the same sequence under 5 other names.